GUGCAGCGCCGCGGUACUACCGGCAGCCCAAGUGAUGGCCGCUCUUAUUGGGCCUAAAGCGUCCGUAGCUGGCUGCGCAAGUCCGUCGGGAAAUCCACUCGCCCAACGAGUGGGCGUCCGACGGAAACUGCACAGCUUGGGACCGGAAGGCUCGAAGGGUACGUUCGGGGUAGGAGUGAAAUCCCAUAAUCCCGCACGGACCACCGAUGGCGAAAGCACUUCGAGAAAACGGAUCCGACAGUGAGGGACGAAAGCCAGGGUCUCCAACCGGAUUAGAAACCCUGGUAGUCC
This 291-nucleotide ribosomal RNA is filed under the name uncultured bacterium. Its description in RNAcentral is "partial 16S ribosomal RNA". It matches the Rfam family "Archaeal small subunit ribosomal RNA", at positions 455 to 747 of the family's 1478-position model. The record is from RNAcentral.